GGGGUAAAAGAUUUUUUAAGGCCCCCCCUAUGGCAAUCGAAGCAGCCCUGACAAGAAAAACGAGAUAGUGUGCGGUUGAUCGGUCAUGCAAUCUGUCAAAUAUUCAAAAAAUAAAGUUUGUUUACAUUUUGAACCGAACGAUAGCUCUCACGAUGUACAACGGCGAAUGAUUAAAAAAAGGCUACAUCAGUGAUGAAAAUGUUGUGUGUAAUGUGUAAAAUAAACAGCCGAAAAAUUAUAAAUGGUGGUAGAAUCGACUUCGCACGCCUGAAAGCCGUUUAGGCUGUUGUGCAACCGUGUUGAGCCGGCGAACGUUCGAAAGCGGGAAGAAAGAAUGCCGGCAAUCCAACUAAACGAUGUUCGAUCAUGGAAAACAAGUUAAAAAGCAUACAAAGCUCGCUCGCCGUUGGACGCUUGGACAAUUACAUUUACAAUCAUUCGGUGAUCAGUUUGCGAAACGUCUUGCCACACGCCUGGUACAGGCCCUUCUUGUCCGCCCCGGCAUCGAUCGUGGACUGAUUGUUCGGCAGCGUCAGCAUCAUCACCUUCAUCUGCGGGUAGUUGUGGUACGGCACAGUUCCGGUCGCCAUCUCGAUCGCGGUAAUGCCGAACGACUAGAAGCCGUAUCCGUGGUCCCGCUCCGUCUCCUCCGGCGCCAUCCAGCACGACGUGCCGAUAAACGUGUGGUACACCUUCUGCCGCGACAUGUCUCCAUCGGUGACGAGCCACGCGCUCAUCCGCUAUAUUUAAGGAGCCGUCGUCGCCGGGCAGUAUGAUGGCCACCUUGAUGUCCACGUAAUGAGCAAUGCGAAAUGUGCUCUCAAUUGGCAAGCGCACAGCAAGAAACGUUACCGACAGUCUUUGUCGCCGUGAAAAUGCUUCUAAUGCACGGGUGAGUUGCAUUAUAACUACAAGCAUACGUUUUUUUUCCUUUCUUUAAUUUCAGCUAAUGCCAGACGAACGAUCGAAUGACUGUUGCUUCGGAAGGGAGGUCGCAUUAGAGAUACCGACUUGGACAUGAUCCAGUCGGUCGGUUGCAGUUGCUCCAUGGUGCUUCGGAUAAGGCAACAACGGAGAAGCGCUCCGGACGCUCCGGAGAAGCUGAUCGAGAUCGGCGAAGCGGUGUAGUGUUGUGAUAUAGUGAUUGUGUGUACAUUUAAGGUGUAAAGGGUGAUUAAUGCUAGUAACGUUGUGUAAUGUUAUGCAGAACAAAAUGCAGCAUAAAUGGCGAUGAGCCAGCAUUGUUUAAAGGUGCCGGAUGUUAUACGUUAGAGCCGUUCUUUGUGGUGUGAUGUGUUAACAUAUUAAACCAGUAUUAGGAUUAGGAUAUAAUUAGGAUUUAAACCAGUGCCGUUGAAUAAAAUAGUGUACAACAGGUUAGAAAACAUUCCGUGUAUUUUGUUUUGUUUUUUUAAAGCUCUUUCGAUUACCUAUUACGGAAGCAAAUAUGUUUCACUAAUGUGCAAAAGGUAAGGAAUUAGUGAUCGCGUUGGUAGGUAAUUGCUCGUUUACGGUGUUUCUCCAUUUGUAUUUAUUGUUUCUCGCCUGCUGUGUUUGGUUCCCCAUUCCUCAUAAUGGUGCGUACGUUUCGUUAACAAUGUGCAUUAGAUGGUGAUGUUACAUGAUAAGUAAAUGUUGAGCGUGUUGGCGGGUUUCAAAAAAUAUUUUACUUGUCCUGCUCCGUUGGUUGUCUGGCUGGCUGGCUGGCUGGCUGGUUGGAUGGCAGAAUGGCUCACUGGCUGGUUAGUGCAGACUAUGAUCGGAUGCGC
Anopheles gambiae (African malaria mosquito) is the source of this 1769-nucleotide long non-coding RNA. RefSeq lists it as uncharacterized. The record is from RefSeq and is a predicted model, not a curated record. NCBI's taxonomy places the organism in Eukaryota, Metazoa, Arthropoda, Insecta, Diptera, Culicidae. The transcript has 3 exons.